UACGUAGGGUGCAAGCGUUCAUCGGAAUUACUGGGCGUAAAGCGCGCGUAGGUGGUUCGUUAAGUUGGAUGUGAAAGCCCCGGGCUCAACCUGGGAACUGCAUCCAAAACUGGCGAGCUAGAGUAUGGCAGAGGGUGGUGGAAUUUCCUGUGUAGCGGUGAAAGGCGUAGAUAGAGGAAGGAACACCAGUGGCGAAGGCGACCACCUGGGCUAAUACUGAAGCUGAGGUGCGAAAGCGGGGGGCGCAAACAGGAUUCGAUACCCCCGUAGUCC
Molecule: ribosomal RNA, 273 nt
Filed under: uncultured bacterium
Lineage: Bacteria
Description: partial 16S ribosomal RNA
Rfam family: Bacterial small subunit ribosomal RNA
Source: RNAcentral